Molecule: ribosomal RNA, 484 nt
Filed under: uncultured bacterium
Lineage: Bacteria
Description: partial 16S ribosomal RNA
Rfam family: Bacterial small subunit ribosomal RNA
Source: RNAcentral
AUUGAACGCUGGCGGCAGGCCUAACACAUGCAAGUCGAGCGGAUGAAUCGGGCUUGCUCCUGGAUUCAGCGGCGGACGGGUGAGUAAUGCCUAGGAAUCUGCCUGGUCGUGGGGGAUAACGUCCGAAAACGGGCGCUAAUACCGCAUCCGUCCUGAGGGCGAAAGUGGGGGAUCUUGGGACCUCACGCUAUCAGGUGAGGCUAGGUGGGAUUAGCUAGUUGGUGGGGUAACUGCCUAGAAAGGCGACGAACCUUAACUGGUAUGAGAGGAUGAUCAGUCACACUGGAACUGAGACAGGGUCCACACUCCGACGGGAGGCAGCAGUGGAGAAUAUUGGACGAUGGGCGAAAGGCUGAUACAGGCAUGCCGCGUGAGUGAAGAAGGUCUUCGGAUUGUAAAGCACUGUAAGUUGGGAGGAAGGACAGUAAGUUAAUACCUGGCUGUUUUGACGGUACCAACAGAAUAAGCUCCGGCUAACUUCGUG